AAAUAAGUUAAAAAUAAGGUUUAUAUAUUUAGUUUAAAAUAAAUAAAUUUAAAUAGAGCGUAUUAGUAGAUAUUUUAGAAAUUAUAAUUUUUUAGUGGCUGUAAAGUUAAUAUUGAAAUAUAAUGAAAAUUUAUUUAUAUUAAAGUAGGAUUUUACUGUACCUUUUGUAUCAGGGUUUAUUUAAUGGUUUUAAUUUAAUAUUAUUAUCCCGAAUUAAAAUGGGUUAAAUUUAUAUAAUGAAUAUAGUGGUAAAUUUAUCAUAAAUAUAAAUUUAGAAAUGAAAUGUUAUUCGUCUUUUAAUAUAUCUGGUUUCUUAAGAAUUGAAUUUAAUUCAGGAUUAAUUAUAGAAAUAAAUUAUUUUGUUAAUUUUUUUAAUUAAUUUAAAAUUAUAAGGGAUAAGCUUUAUAAUUAAAUAUAUUUAAAAUAGUAAAGAAAAAGUAGGCUUGAAAGUUGUUAUCUUUAAAAAAUUGUAAUAAAUUAUUCUAAUUUACUAUAAUUUUUAUAAAAUUAUUUAUUUAUUAAGAAAUAUAAUUAAAUUUGAAAGUUAUAGGUAUAAUGAUAAAAUUAUUAGCUUUUAUAUAUUUUAAUAAGGAACUCGGCAAAUUAAUAUACUCGGCUGUUUAACAAAAACAUAGCUUUUUGAAUGAAUAAAAGGUGUAACCUGCCCACUGAAUAAAAAAUUGAAGGGCCGCGGUAUUUUGACCGUGCAAAGGUAGCAUAAUCAUUAGUCUUCUAAUUAAGGGCUGGCAUGAAGGGUCGCACGUAGUAUUAGCUGUCUCAUUUGAAUAAAGUAAAUUUAACAUUUAAGUGAAAAGGCUUAAAUAGAAUUGGAGGACGAGAAGACCCUAUAGAGCUUUAUAAAGAAUUUAUAUUUAGUUUAGUGGUUUGUUAAAUAUAUGAUUUAAUUUAUUUUGUUGGGGUGACAUGAAAAUAAAUAAACUUUUCAUUUUAUUAACAUUUAUUUAUGGUUAAAGGAUCCGUUAUUAACGAUUAUAAGUCUAAGUUACCUUAGGGAUAACAGCGUGAUCUUUUUUGAGAGUUCUAAUCGACAAAAAGGGUUGCGACCUCGAUGUUGGACUAAAAAUAAACUUAGGCGCAGUAGCUUGAGAAUUAGGUCUGUUCGACCUUUAAAUUUUUACAUGAUCUGAGUUCAGACCGGCGUAAGCCAGGUUGGUUUCUAUCCUCAAUUUAUAAUAAAUAAUUUAGUACGAAAGGACCAAUUAUUUAAAAUAAUUUUUAAUAUUUGAAUAUUAUU
RNAcentral lists this ribosomal RNA (1255 nucleotides) under Potamanthellus edmundsi. RNAcentral describes it as "16S ribosomal RNA". The stretch from base 827 to 1188 matches the Rfam family "Bacterial large subunit ribosomal RNA", at positions 2072 to 2648 of the family's 2925-position model. Lineage: Eukaryota; Metazoa; Arthropoda; Insecta; Ephemeroptera; Neoephemeridae. The record is from RNAcentral.